ACCCGGCAUACAUUGUAGGAUUCUGUGUGGGUGAAGCGACAGCUACAUUGUCUGCUGGGUUU
MicroRNA precursor from Gadus morhua (Atlantic cod), 62 nucleotides. Ensembl annotates it as gmo-mir-221-2. Its record names the gene gmo-mir-221-2. Lineage: Eukaryota; Metazoa; Chordata; Actinopteri; Gadiformes; Gadidae. The record is from Ensembl.